This 2878-nucleotide long non-coding RNA is filed under the name Sorghum bicolor (sorghum). RNAcentral's name for it is "long non-coding RNA (SBIC_LNC001128)". Lineage: Eukaryota; Viridiplantae; Streptophyta; Magnoliopsida; Poales; Poaceae. The record is from RNAcentral.
CAGGUACAACCUCGGAGUAGGCACCGACAGGCCGGGCUUCCUCCGAUCUACACCUCCACUCUAUCUUUCUCAAUCUAGUAGAACUAGUCUACUCUCACAUUGGAUGCUAAGCCCUAAGUCUAUGUAGAGGAAAGGUUAUCCUUCGAGGGCACCUCUCAACUCUAUAAUGAACUUGUUCCCCUCCAGGGGCCAGGGGGUCUGCUUAUAUAGUCCCCUCAGGUGAACGUGAGCCGUCGGAUCAAACUGACAUUGAUUGAAAGGUUAUCCUUGAUCCUUUAGGUCGGUGGUGAGUAAUCCGCGAGACGGGACCUGAUUGGUCUCUGCAACAGGGCGGGCGCCCAAGGGGGGAGGGCGAGCGCCCUGCCUCCGGGCCCGAUCGCCUUCCCGUGGCUUCUGGAGUCUUCUAGAUGAUAGAAAAUUGCGCGGCACGUUAAUAUCUCUAUGUAAACCCGACGUGUGGGCCUUUCUUCCAUAUUUCCUGAUAACCCCCUACAGAAAUAGACAAACACCAAAACUCGUGGAAUUCAGUCAGAUAAAACCCUAAGUCUGGGUGUUGGUUGCAUUUGGAUCCUUUUCUUUAUUUAUUUAUUUGAUGAUUAUAUUUGGUACUUAAGGACCGUCAACAACUCCCCCAAGCUUACCUCUUGGUCGUCCCUGAGCAAGGAUGGACUCAAGAGUUUCCACAGUGGUUUCAUGCCUUAAAAGUAAGAUCUCACCUCUGAGUUAGAGUAAACUGUUAAGACUUAAAACUUACUCAUUUUACCUUUCUCCAUGGGGCUUGCAACCGUCACUUGUGUCUUGAGCGGUUAAAAGAUAGAACGGUCAAGUCAAGUGCCAUGUCUCUUGUUCUUUGAUCAGCUGUAGCUCUGGAGUUUUUGCAGAUUUUCAAAUAAAACUCAUAGAUUCCUUGUAUGACUCUCUCAAAUCUCUUUUUUGUGGCAUUUCUGGAUCCUUUCGAAGGCAGUGAUGAUAUAUAACUUCUCUCAAAGUAUUUAGUAUUUUUGGUAUGAGGCAUAGUGAUAUUGCCUUCUCUCUCACCCUACUCUAAUAACGUUUUGACAUCUGGAGCUCAUAGGUGGGAGAUAGAUAAUACAUACUUACAAGACACUUAUUGCAUAGUCAAACCAUGGAUCCAGAGAAACAAGUCAAUAAGUCAAAUCAAGAUGUGCAUGUGUGGCGAGUGAAUGGUGUAUGGUGAUGAUGGUGAUAACAAUGGUGAAUUUUAAUUCUACUUUUGCUCUUUUGAGGGGAUACAUACCUUUCUUGCACUUUGAAGCAUUUUGAGGAGAAUGAGAUGCUCUAUAUUUUCUUUUUCUUUUCUCUCAGGUGGGUGUCUUGUACCCCUAAUUCUACUAUCGGACACUUAUCCAUUUUUACCUCUCGUCUCACUUUUUCUUUUCUUCGAGGUUCCGCGCACUUGCCCCUUUUUAUUUCCUCGUAUUCUUUCUCUUUUUUUUUCUUUCUUUUUUUCUCUAUUUUAGAGCAGUCAUCUCCUGAAAUAUUAUAGCAAGUGGUAGUAACCAAGAUAACUCGAGCAUUUAUUUCACAGGGAAAAACAGAAAUAGGAGAAUGUUUUUAGCUAUUCUCUCCUGGAUUAGGAGUAGAAUAAUUUUAGGUGAAUCUGGAGAUGGAAUUGAGUGGAUGUAUGUGGAUGUGUACUUCCAGAGUAGAAGUAGCAUGUAUGAGUGAACGUGCAAGUGAAUCUUGAUUUUAACCGCAUGACAAGCUCUUAAGGGUCUACACAGCUUGACCACACUCAAUGCUCAUAAGCAGUAAAAAGUAAAUGUGUGGCUGAAAGUCUACCAAGCAUGUAUAUAUAGCUGUGGUAGGAAUUUAAACUCUCAUCAUACAGGAACUCAUCAUGUGUUAUUUUAAAGAUUUUCAAAGAUAAAAUUCUCUAGAAUUCUAGCAUCUCUAAGGACAAAUAAACAGCAGCUCAACCUUCUCAUAUCACAUCCGUUAACGACUUAGUGUAAUACCCGAUUUUAAGGACAAAAUCAGAUACACACCAUAUGUGAGUUUUAGAAGUCAAAUCUCACAUAUAGCUACAAAUAAGAGGUAAUAUCAAAAGACAAUGCAUAAAUAUAUAACAUACUUAGUAUAAAAGAGAUAACCUUGAUAGCAAACAGCGGAUAGACAAUUCCGAACUUUGGGUAUUAGCUUCUCUCUACAAGAUCCAACUGACUGGUUGAUCACAAGCCUAAACAUCUCCUGAGGUUUGGGGGAAAUAGCAAGAGUGAGUCCAUGUCGAACUCCACAAUUAUAGCAACUAGAUUGUAUAGCUCCCACAAUCUCAUGAUCAAUGUGACAUAAAUAAUGUAGAGCAUUAAACAAUAAAUAAUUAGUAUUUUAACACAACAAGAAUCAUCAUCAUCGAUGCAAGAAUCCCCAAGGCCGCUCUUAACCAUGAGCACGGCUAGUAUACCAGUUUUUAACACUCUACAGAGGUUGUACAUCUUUACCCAUGAGUCAUGAUUUACCCUUUCGCCCGAGGUGAUCAGCCCCUUAACCCACUUCCAAGGAAGGUCGGCAGGGAUCACUAUGAAGCCUUUCAAAAGUUCGUCUAACCUGUUAGGGCCGCAAGGUUUCCUUUGCGCGCAGAUAUAGAGCCCCCCUUCCGAUGGCACAACGACUCGCAGCCUAUACACAUACAGACAGAGGCCACACUAUACCCAAAACGGUUCAGCCCCUCCGCCCUUUCGGGUAACCUCUAACAAGCUAGAAAAGGUCUUCAUACGGAGCUAAAGCCAGAGCCAUUAUAGCCCUCAUGGUUGCACUGUUGUCCCAGUUAUCACUUACAGAUAAAUCAUCAAGUGGCUAAAAAGUCAUUUUUACCAUUUAUUACUUAACAUUAAUCUAGUCAUAGGAUCAUGUUCAC